UUUACUUGGCUGCCUGGAAAUCAUAUUUCUGGAACGGAAUUGUGCCUCACUUCCUGUUUAUGUGUCUUUGUAGCAGCGACGGAAUGGAAAUUCAAUUCUUCCAGUAUCUCUGUUGUAGCUAGCUGGUAUGCAAUGAAAUGUAGCUUGCUACUGAAGUUUAAUUGGCUAGCUUUAAGCCAUAGAAAAGAUUUGGGCUAUGUUAUAUAAAUGGAAAUAUGUUUUCUACUUUAUUAUGUAUGUAAACACAUAGGUCGACAAGAUGGAGCCAUGAAGGACAGACAGCAUGGUUGUUCAGGAGAGUGUUUUAAAACCGUCACUGUUGAUUGGCCAGACAGCAACUGUACCACUGAAGAACGUUAGCAAGUUAGCGAGCUAGCUAAGUGUGCUGAGACUUGCGUUACAUCGACGGACUUCCAUCGCCUGUUCCAAUACGGUUCGUGAGUGUACUGUAAAAACUUGCCAUAACACAAGGACUGGGUCAGAUAUAAUGUUUCACCAACUUCCAUUGAGAGAUCCGGACCGAUUGAGACUAUGGCUAGUUGCCCUGAACAUUGACGCCAAUACUCCGCCUGACGACCUCAGAAAGUUACUAGUAUGCUCAGAACAUUUUCCCCGGGGACUAUUAUGAGAGAAUGGAACUGUCAAGAAGUAAGAUUAAAAGUUAUGUCCCAUCAGUGGGCAUUCUAUGCACAACAUGUAGGCAAGCCAUAGGAAAUCUUUGGCGAAGUCAUAUAAACGGACAUAUGUUUCCUAAUUCCUUAUUAUUGUGUUAAGAGGGAGCCAUGAAGGACAGAUAUCAUGGUUGGUCAGGAGAGGGUAUUAACACAGUCACUGUUGAUAGGCCAGAAGGCAGCAGUGCCACUGAAGAAUGUUGUCCGUCCAUUGAGGAGGACCAGUGCGUGAACAUUCAGCCCAGAAGCUCAGAUGAGUCGAACCACGGAGAACAGGUUAUGAUGCUGCUGUAUGAGAUAGGUUUCAGCAUGCAUAUGAAGUCAAACACACUUCAUCAUGUAGCCAGUAACACUGAUCUCUGUUUUCAUUUGAAUUAGGUGAGUGAAGUGUCAGUGGUCCUUCCGUGUGAAUACAGAAACAUAGACGACAGUUGUUCCCUGAGGAUGGAAAGGAAUGGGUCUGUGAAGCAGGAGAAGUGUUGCCUCCUAUAGCGAGGAAGAGAAGAAGCUGUUGGCUGCCAUGGUGUUUGAGAAGGGGGAACUGGGGCUGACUGGCUCUCUGGUGAUGGAGGUGACUGAGGAUCCACAGGACAGUGAUGCAGACACUGCACCCAACAGGGAGGAAAGGGCUCUGCACCUAGAGGAGGAGCAAGGAGAUGAGAGACAGACAGAUGAAGGGACUGCCCAGCAGAGAGGAGCGGCAGGCUAAUGCUGAGUGGGAACCCUCAGUGGAGCCGGAGGUGACUUUAGAUUCUGUUUGUGUGUUUGUGUGUGUGUGUGUGUGUGUGUGUGUGUGUGUGUGUGUGUGUGUGUGUGUGAUGGAGCGCGAGAGAGACGGCGCGAGCGAGCCUACACUCCACGCCGACACAAGAAGCUGUGUGUGUGAUGGCCAGCCUGAGGAGCCUGUUGGGUUUGACAAACUCUGCAUGCGGUUUAAUGACCUCGGCAGUUAUGAGGAGCACGUCCGUCAAGAGCACUCCAAAAGUUCACGGCCUCUCUGUCCUGACUGUGGCAUCCUCAUCUCAACGUUACUCAGUGUGGGGCAUCAGUGUGAACAAGUUCAAGCUGUUCUGUCUGUGGGAAGCGCUGUGUGGAUGAAGCUGGCCUCAAGCAUCACCAGAGGCUUCACCAUCAAGAGCAUGUCUACUGUAAGUUCUGCCUCAAGCCAUUCAAGGCCAGGGAAGACAAGCGGACACACGAGAAGGACGACCACCAGGUCAAAAAGUUGCACUAUAGGUGCUCCAAAUGCCCCAUGGGAUUUUACAACAUCUUGAAACGGAACCACCAUCUCAGAGAGCAUGAGUCCAAGAGACAUUUGUAACAUGUGCUACAAGGAAUUUCCCCAACUUAGCAAGCUUGAGAGGCACGAGCUGAGCCACAGUGACAACAAAUCCUUCAGGUGUCAGGUGUGCCAGCGUUCCUUUGCCCAGCUCAGCCAGCUGAAGUCUUACCUGCACGUCCACACUGGGGAGAAGCCCUUCAAAUGCCAGCGCUGCGUCUAGAGCUUUAACCACAACGUCAGCCUCAAGAACCUCGUCACACGCUAUCACCAAGGGGAGAGUGGGGAGGGAGUGGAGGUGGGAGAGCGGAGGAGCAGGCGACAGAGGAAUCGACAGUUGAACUAUGAUCCUGAGGAGGAGGAGCGUCAGAAUGAGAGUGAUUCUGACUUUGACCUGGAGGAAGAGGAGAAGACGAGGAGUAAAGGGAAAGGUAGUGGAGGAGGGGGGGCACUGGUAGAAGCCUCUAGGAGAGAUACAUGUGCACACUGCUGUUGAAAAGCUGGACACAUUACCAUCACCACCCCAGAGAGAACCAGACCAGAACAAGGAGCCACCUACCGGUGUCAUUAAAAAAAGUCUUAUCGGUUUUGUCAUGACCAUAAUGUUUUGGCUUUGAACAUUUCUUAGAACUCUUCAGGCUGUUGUUUUUUCACUUCUACAGUUUUGGUUUAAAAAUAUCUAUUGUUAAAGAAAAUGUGUUUCACUGUUCUACAUCAUCAAAUAUCCAUGAAAAAUCUGAUGGGUUUGUAAAGUGAAUGUUACAAAGAAUUUCCUCCCCACAGAUGUUAUUGGCUGAUAUAUUGCAUUUUGAGUUCUCCUGGUUGGACCGACCCACAAGUUAAGAAGCACAGAGAUAAACCCAUCUUGGAUAUAACCAGCGAGGAAACAAGAGGCUUGACUCCGCUCUAAAGUCUGUCAGUGCGAAAGUACAGUGUUAACCAGUGGAAUUGGGGAUUUUUUUUAUGGAGGUCAAUGAGAGAAUGUCGAAUUUGGUCAACAGUUUAAUAAAGGUUACAUAAAAAUAAAUAAAAAAACCAUAAAAUUAAAAUGUCUAAUUUGCUACAAUGUUUAAUUUGAUCGAAUUUAAGUUUCAUUAUGUUUAUGUCGAUAAGAAUUUACUGAUAAGUGGGCGCAUGUGGCAUUUUGGAAACUUGGAGAAAAACAAUUUUAUAAUGGAGUUGUGCUUGUUGUUCUCACACAUAUCUGCCCUCUCAUUGGCUAGAAUGUUUAUUUAGUCAUUUAUUUUACCCCCAGUCCAGUUGAGGGCGACACUACACCUUUUGAUUGUAGUUCGCCAUAAAACCCAAAUAAGAAUACCUCGCUCUUGCUCUGUGCCUACAUUCCCGCACAGUAGGUGGCGGCAUGCACUUAAACGAUUGUUUGCGGAGCGCCUUGACAUAGAAGAAGACUCAGCUGAGUCACAGCGAAAAAGGGAUUAGUUAUAAAUAUCUUUGAAUGAGUCCUUUUACUAUCCCUAGAUUUAGACGUCUGUCAACAUGGCUGACUCCCAGAAGCAUCCGUUAAUUUUAUACCUCAGUAAUCAUGCACCACCAGAGAGCGCUUUAAAACCUAAAAUGAUUCGACCAACAGCCAAGAAGCAGGACGACAAGUCCCGUGGACAGACCCGAGUAAAUUUAGGUGUUGCGUUUUUACGAUGGCGCGUAGAAUUCUCUCUUCGCGCACACACAUCUUCAUUGCAGCGACUUACUUGCUAGUUGAGAUUUCUGCUCUUCACUCCGUUGUCAGUUUAGCCUACAUUUCGCUGAUUGUAGUAGCAGUAGCAUUUUUUAUUUGUCAUUCUAUGCAUGUGUGUAGAUGUAACCGAUGUGAAAUGGCUAGUUAGUUAGCGGUGGUGCGUUUCAAUCAGUGACGUCACUCGCUCUGAGACUUGAAGUAGGGUUUCCCCUUGCAUUGCAAGGGCCGUGGCAUUUGUGGCGCGAUGGGUAACGAUGCUUCGUGGGGUGUCAGUUGGUGAUGUGUGCAAGGGUCCCUGGUUCGAGCCCGGGUUGGGGCGAAGAGAGGGACGGAACCUACACUGUGUAACCGAUGUGAAAUGGCUAGUUAGUUAGCGGUUGUGCGCGCUAAUAGCAUUUCAAUCAGUGACGUCACUUGCUCUGAGACUUGAAGUAGGGUUUCCCCUUGCGUUGCAAGGGCCGCGGCUUUUGUGGCUUCGUGGGGUGUCAGUGCAAGGGUCCCUGGUUCGAGCCCAGGUUGGGGCGAAGAGAGGGACGGAACCUACACUGUUACAUAGAGAAGAUCGGCAUUGUUUUCAACCAGUGGGAUAGGUAGGCUACCGGACACCACUUUUAUUAUUAAGCCAUCAUUUCUGAAUGAAAUUUGGUACUGACAAAACCUAUUUGUAUAAAAUCAUUUUAUAAUAUACAGACAAUGCAUCAUCCAAAUUGCAUGAAUGCCUAUACCUACACAUACUGUAAGUGACUAAAUGAAAAUUAUCUAUUUUUGAAUUCGUAAAACACCAAAUUAGGCCUACCGUAUUAUAAAUUAUGCUAUCAUCACUGGUAAUCGUGAGUGACAAUUCGACACGUUUUACAGGUCAAACGUCCAUGUUGCCUGCAUACCAACCAUUUGAUCCCAAUCACUUUCAUGGGAAUAUGCAUUUCGAUCUUCUUGAAUGAUGUAAGUGUGCCCUUCCUGGUCCCGUCCCUAAAGUCAGUGAGUCAACACAGGAAACAUUAAUGGAUGGAUAGUUCAUUUAUUUCCAAAACUGCAAUCAUGGGACACAAACAGUAUGGAUGAAUGAGGAGUUGUGACGGGAUAUAAAUAGCACUCCCACAGCAAUGCUCCAUAAUUCGGCUGUAUAAUAUACUAACAAAAUAACAAUUGAAAUGUCUAUCAAAGUUAUUGGGAUCGUAUACUGGAUUUAACAAUUUCUAAUUUGGGUGAUUCUGCAACUACGGUCACUUCCAUGUCCUCGGGUCAAUUUUGGGGAUUUUAUAAAAAAAUAUUUGUAUGUUAAGUGGAAUCACCCCAUACUUUUUUAAAACACCUCUAUCAAAUAUUUUAGCUACUUUUCAGAUGCAUUUUAUACCUCAAUUUCACUUUUUUGCCCUUGUCCUUGACACAGACUUAAGCUUCUAUUAUGUUUUUCUAUGAGAAAACAAUAAUUACACAUUAUAUAAUGUUAUGUACUAAAGAAAAAGUCAAUUAAAUAAAAUCUAUAUCAAUAUUUA
Long non-coding RNA from Salmo salar (Atlantic salmon), 5142 nucleotides. RefSeq lists it as uncharacterized. NCBI's taxonomy places the organism in Eukaryota, Metazoa, Chordata, Actinopteri, Salmoniformes, Salmonidae. The record is from RefSeq and is a predicted model, not a curated record.